Acanthaster planci (crown-of-thorns starfish) is the source of this 1376-nucleotide long non-coding RNA. RefSeq lists it as uncharacterized. NCBI's taxonomy places the organism in Eukaryota, Metazoa, Echinodermata, Asteroidea, Valvatida, Acanthasteridae. The record is from RefSeq and is a predicted model, not a curated record.
GGUCUUUUGAAUCGGGGAGGGACUCCUCCCAUCUCGGCGUAUGUGGUUCUUUGGUGUGGAACAAUCCCCGGACGCAAGACUUGCCGUUUAAUAGAUAGAACUAGAGGUUAAUACUAAAAACGUCCUUUCUUUCAUGAAACUAUUUCACAGCAUAGUGAAAACUAUGAUAAGGCAGACCUGUAGCUGGAGCUGUUCGCCCGUAGCUCGUCGCCGAAGAACGAUGUUACCCAAGUUGUUGCAUACCACAUGUUCUUUCUCUUACAGGUUGGGGGGGCAGAGUAGGCGAGGUGGCGCGAUAGAAAAUUAUUUAUUCGAGGUUGAGUUUCGAAUUAGCAAAUAACUUAUUCAACGUUCGAAUAUGGAACAGUUACUUGUUCAACGUUGAAUGUCGAACGUCAAACGAGGAACGAGGAACUAACUUCACAUCGGUUAAUCUCAUUUGGAAUUUACUAAAUCGAGGUUGCAGGAGAAGGGAGGGAUGGUUACUAACGAAGAGUGAAAUCAACUUAGGGAACCUUAGACCAUCUCCAUUUCUCCAUGCGUAGACCGACAGCGCAGCCCGUUCAAAACCAGGCCGAGCUCCCCCUGAAAUAUCAGUCCGACGCAGAAAAUUAAAGCUGAAGACUAUCACGUGUAUGUAGUGCCCGUAUGGUACGCCAUGCACUUCGCGGGCUCCGAAGGAAUGCAAUGUCGAUGAGACCAAGCCAUGGAAAGCUUAAGGAUGGAAAUAAGCAUUGAAAUGAAAUGAUGACGUAUUGAGGGCGCUGCUUAUCCUAGUCACACGUCUACAGCAUGAUAUGCAUUCUGCCCUGAUCUACAGCUGCAGAUUGAAAGGAAGCUGAGCAAGGUGACCAAUAUUGCAAGUGUGGACUUGCACAGGGCUCCCAGCUCCCCUCACAGCAGUCCAUGGAGUUGACCAAAGGAGUUGAAGAGCGGAAUACUGUCUGAAAACAUGAAUAAUAUUGAUGAUCGGCAGAAUGAUGCAAACCAAAUGAGACAGAGACAAGCAGGAUCUGCUUACUUGAAAGGGGUAGAGGGUGGUACGCUGUAAGGUAGAGCACUGUUCUUGGAGAAGGCAAACCAAUCAGUGGUAAUGGGUGUGGUAAUGCAUUGUUAGGGGCUUCCCUUGUCAUAGCGAUGAGCUGGGACCUUCACAAGUUUAAAUUCAGCAGAUGAUGACCUCAUAGAUCAAGAUUUAAUGGAGGAAAGGAGUGGAUUUCCUGAGGUGGCCCCUGAUGCAUGGAGGAGUGACUGAAAGGAACACUUACAAGCCUCCAUCUUAUGGAUGUUGGUACCAAUUCCUCUAUCUUGCCAAAGAGUGACGCUGGUGUGGACAGUGCUUGGGAGGUACCCUCAGGAGCACUGAUUGGCAGGAA